UAACAGUGAGAAAUCAUUGCUAAUACCGCAUAUGCCAUGAACAUCACAUGAUGAAAGUGGGAAAAGAGUAAUCUGCUAGUAGAUGGGCUCGCGUCUGAUUAGAUAGUUGGUGGGGUAACGGCCCACCAAGUCGACGAUCAGUAGCCGGACUGAGAGGUUGAACGGCCACAUUGGGACUGAGAUACGGCCCAGACUCCUACGGGAGGCAGCAGUCGGGAAUAUUGCGCAAUGGAGGAAACUCUGACGCAGUGACGCCGCGUAUAGGAAGAAGGUUUUCGGAUUGUAAACUAUUGUCGUUAGGGAAGAUACAAGACAGUACCUAAGGAGGAAGCUCCGGCUAACUACGUGCCAGCAGCCGCGGUAAUACGUAGGGAGCAAGCGUUAUCCGGAUUUAUUGGGUGUAAAGGGUGCGUAGACGGGAAAGCAAGUUAGUUGUGAAAUCCCUCGGCUUAACUGAGGAACUGCAACUAAAACUGUUUUUCUUGAGUGUUGGAGAGGAAAGUGGAAUUCCUAGUGUAGCGGUGAAAUGCGUAGAUAUUAGGAGGAACACCGGUGGCGAAGGCGACUUUCUGGACAAUAACUGACGUUGAGGCACGAAAGUGUGGGGAGCAAACAGGAUUAGAUACCCUGGUAGUCCACACCGU
RNAcentral lists this ribosomal RNA (644 nucleotides) under uncultured bacterium. RNAcentral describes it as "bacterial SSU rRNA". It matches the Rfam family "Bacterial small subunit ribosomal RNA", at positions 144 to 803 of the family's 1533-position model. The record is from RNAcentral.